RNAcentral lists this ribosomal RNA (420 nucleotides) under bacterium. RNAcentral describes it as "partial 16S ribosomal RNA". It matches the Rfam family "Bacterial small subunit ribosomal RNA", at positions 355 to 776 of the family's 1533-position model. The record is from RNAcentral.
UGGGGGAUAUUGCACAAUGGGCGAAAGCCUGAUGCAGCGACGCCGCGUGGGGGAUGAAGGCUUUCGGGUUGUAAACCUCUUUCGCUAUCGAACAAGGCCCGCUUAGGGUGGGUUGAGGGUAGGUGGAGAAGAAGCGCCGGCUAACUACGUGCCAGCAGCCGCGGUAAUACGUAGGGCGCGAGCGUUGUCCGGAAUUAUUGGGCGUAAAGGGCUUGAAGGCGGCUUGUUGCGCCUGCUGUGAAAACGCGGGGCUUAACUUCGCGCGUGCAGUGGGUACGGGCAGGCUUGAGUGUGGUAGGGGUGACUGGAAUUCCAGGUGUAGCGGUGGAAUGCGCAGAUAUCUGGAGGAACACCGAUGGCGAAGGCAGGUCACUGGGCCAUUACUGACGCUGAGGAGCGAAAGCAUGGGUAGCGAACAGG